CCUGGUGACACUGAAACAAAAGUAUUUUUUUUGUUAGAAAAGCAAGCACUUGGCUGGCCAAAGACAAAUAUUUUGAGAGUUUAACACUUUGAGCCUUUAACACUUUCAACUCCGGCCAUCUGUGGCUUUCUGCCUAACGAAGGCUUUUCUCUCACCUCGAAGCACUCCUUAAAGGUGGAGCUUGCUUGGUUUUUAAACUAGAAAUUGAAUUGAAAGCUGUUUCCUUUGUCCCAAAAGAAUAUAUUUUAAUGCCCAGGUUUGGGAAGAGAAGCUUUCCUGGCCCCAUGGGUUUUGCACAAGCUGAAGAAGCCUCCUGCUCUCCCAACUUGCCCCCCAACGUGCCCAUGGUGGCUGCGGCUGCGCAGGAGCCUGGGCGGCUGAACCCUGCCUGCUCUGCCCGGGGUGCUCCAGCCUCAGAAAUGUUUGCUGCCGGUGACGGUCGUGUGCGUAGGCGGUGGAAGAUGAGGUCAGAGAGGCCCCGGUGGUGUCGCUGCUGGUGUCACCUCGGAGCAGCAGGCUGCGAGGGGAGCUCAGCCUCUUAUUAGACAGCAGAGCGCCCGCGCGGCAGAAACCCUUUGAGUCAUAAGUGCGUAGGAAGCCAGGCUGGUUUCCUGCCCUGCUGCUGCUCUCCCAGUGCUGGUUUGUGCCACGAGCCCCAUCCGAGCCCCAGCUCGGCCCCUAGCAGCUCCAUCACAGCGUGGCACGGGGGUCCCGUGGGGCACUGUCACCCCUGCCACAGUGCCCGGGGCUGUGCGACCCCACCAGCAAUCACUGCAGCGCCAGAUAACGUUGUGCUGAACUCUUGGAUAAAGUUUUGCUGAACUCUCGCUUCCUCUAUUGAUAAGAGCGUGCUCCUGGCCAGUGUCCAGGGCCAGGUUCCUGGGGAAAAGGGGGCUCCUUCCAGCAGGCAGCCCCCUGCCCUGAAGCUCUCAGGCCCUACAGCAGACCCCCAGGCUUCCCUAGGGACUGAGGGCAGGGGAAUGUCCCUGUCCCGGGGCACAGCGAGAGGUGGGAAGGAUCAGGGACAUGGUGCUUGUGCUCCUGGUGGCACUGACCACCGUGCUGUGACCUCCACAAACCUGGCCCAGGCAGGGAACAAGCUCUGGGCCCCCAAAUCCUUGGGUUGUGAUGGAGAAGGGCCCUGCCACGCCAAGCCAUGCCACACCAAGCUGUGCCGUGCCGUGCCAUGCCGGCCAAACACUGGCACAGGCGAGGAGCCCAAGGAAACCACGGUCCCAGGCUCUGCAGGCCGGUGCUCGCCGGGGCUUGGAGGCAAAAUUUCGGACGUUUGUGUUCAAAGCCAGGAGCAGGAGGAGGGCGCGGAGCCGGCUGGCCGGGUUUUCAAACCCAUUGGUUCUCGGAGCAGCAGGCAAGGGAGGGGCAAGGGAGCAGCCUGCCUCAUAAUUGCCUUAAUUAAGCAGGCUCGCUCCGAGCAGGAUCCCACACUGAGCACACCGCAACAGGGGCUGUGCUGUUCGUGCCAAGGGCAGGUGCCUCCUCAUCCAUCUAUCGUUCAGCUGUCCCCCUUUCAAGCUCCAGGGCUCGAUGGAGGAGAUAAACGGCCUUGAUGGGACGGCAGGACAAGUUCCAACACCGCUUCCCAGUGCCUGCUGCCAGCUUCAGAGCGUGAGAAAAUACUGGGCAGGGAGGGAAGGAUCAGCAUCGCACGGAUGUUUGGAGAUGAUUGAUAUUUUUAUGGUGAAGUCGGGAUUUUUGGGUUCCUCCGUCCCUCCACGUGGCACAUCUCUGGGCUGGGGCUUGCACGCACGUGUUGGGCAUGGUGCCGCCCGCAGGUGCCCAGUGACCGGGCAGGGGCCGGGCUGUGCCCACACUCCUCACCCCUGGCACGCAGCUGGGGGCAGCUCACCACAGCUCCCACCAUCACCAGUGCCCCGAUAGAGCCACG
Molecule: long non-coding RNA, 1906 nt
Filed under: Anas platyrhynchos platyrhynchos (common mallard)
Lineage: Eukaryota; Metazoa; Chordata; Aves; Anseriformes; Anatidae
Description: lncRNA (ENSAPLG00000027920.1)
Source: RNAcentral